RNAcentral lists this ribosomal RNA (234 nucleotides) under uncultured bacterium. RNAcentral describes it as "partial 16S ribosomal RNA". It matches the Rfam family "Bacterial small subunit ribosomal RNA", at positions 355 to 581 of the family's 1533-position model. The record is from RNAcentral.
UAGGGAAUCUUCCACAAUGGACGCAAGUCUGAUGGAGCAACGCCGCGUGAGUGAAGAAGGUUUUCGGACCGUAAAGCUCUGUUGUUGGUGAAGAAGGAUAGAGGUAGUAACUGGCCUUUAUUUGACGGUAAUCAACCAGAAAGUCACGGCUAACUACGUGCCAGCAGCCGCGGUAAUACGUAGGUGGCAAGCGUUGUCCGGAUUUAUUGGGCGUAAAGCGAUCGCAGGCGGAGA